Molecule: ribosomal RNA, 604 nt
Filed under: uncultured bacterium
Lineage: Bacteria
Description: bacterial SSU rRNA
Rfam family: Bacterial small subunit ribosomal RNA (bases 1-531)
Source: RNAcentral
CCUACGGGAGGCAGCAGUAAGGAAUAUUGGUCAAUGGACGAAAGUCUGAACCAGCCAUGCCGCGUGAAGGAUUAAGGCCCUCUGGGUUGUAAACUUCUUUUAUCUGGGACGAAAAAAGGGUAUUCUUACUCACUUGACGGUACCAGAGGAAUAAGCACCGGCUAACUCCGUGCCAGCAGCCGCGGUAAUACGGAGGGUGCAAGCGUUAUCCGGAUUUACUGGGUUUAAAGGGUGCGUAGGUGGGUUUGUAAGUCAGUGGUGAAAUCUCCGAGCUUAACUCGGAAACUGCCAUUGAUACUAUAGAUCUUGAAUUAUCUGGAGGUAAGCGGAAUAUGUCAUGUAGCGGUGAAAUGCUUAGAUAUGACAUAGAACACCAAUUGCGAAGGCAGCUUACUACGGAUAUAUUGACACUGAGGCACGAAAGCGUGGGGAUCAAACAGGAUUAGAUACCCUGGUAGUCCACGCCCUAAACGAUGGAUACUCGACAUCAGCGAUACACUGUUGGUGUCUGNGNGAGANAUAGUAUCCACCGNGAGAGAGCGCGAGAGUUAGAAGUACAAUUAGAGUUAGAGNGNGAGAGNGCGAGACGACGACGAGGAGGAGG